UAGAGCAAAAGCAAAACAGCGCAGGGUGCGCGGGGGAUUCGCUCCGCCCAACACGCACACCUUUUAACAACAAGAGCUGUGCUUAAAUACAGUGAGGUGUUCCAUAUUCACAAUGACCCCAGGAACGCCUGUACAUAUUCAUAACCUUUCCCGCUUCUCAUUACAAGGAGUCUCGGAGAAGCAUUUCCAGUCUCCUCUUUGAGCCGCCCUGUUCGCCUGCGCUGUGUCACUUGGUGGUUUUGAGGAGGGUCUUUGGGGUCUUUGGAUGAGACUUCAUAAACAAGUCUCAUAACUUUUUACCUAGAACUUAACCACCUUUCCUUUUUCCAGCUUCAGAGCCCGAGCCUCAUUUGGUUACACCUGUAAACACUGAACAUCUCAGCACGAAUCGCAGCUGCAUUUCUCGCACUGUGAAGAUAUUUGGGUGCUGAACUCCGAGCUCAGCGCUGGCGGGGUGAAGUUCCUCCCUGAGGGGAUGAGGGGAGGAGGGGGCGGGGCCAAGGGCCGGCGGCGCGCGGGGCUGAGGCGGCGAGCUGCGAUUGGCCGGCCGGGACGCAGCGGCCGUUCCCGCCCGAGCCUUCGGGCGAGAGACAGAGCGGGAGUGCGGGGAGCGGCCGGGACGGGGCCGCCCCACAGAGAGCCCAGAGAGCGGGGUUCUGGGACUCUGCCCCGGGAACGAGCGACAGGAGGAGAGGGAACGGCCCCGAUGGUACCAGAGCCCGAAGGUCCCAGCGGGGUUUGGAUCAGCGUGUUCUGGAACAUUCUCAGUGGGUCAGGUCUGUGUCAAGAGUGUGGUGGAAACGAAAAGAGAGAAGGUGGAGAGAACAGUGGGGAGAUGGAGGAGCAAGAGUGAAGGUGAAUACCAGAGAGAGCAAGUGUGUGCAGACAAGCUCACGCGUUCUUCCAUCGAUCCUCAGCAUCGCUCCCAAAACAUUUUGCACUUCCCGAGGAACAAGCUGGAUCCAUUACCGCAGUUGUCCUGCCUGUGCCCGCAUAGCGCCUCUGCAACAAAAGGGAGCGAAUCCUCGGGGCUCGCAGCCAGGUCAGUCGUGGCAAACUGAUGUUACUGAAUUUGCAGCGUUUGGCCGACAAGAGUACAUUGGUGUGUCCAUGGACACCUGUUCAGGACCGUUGUGGCUACAGCUUUGACCUCAGCAAACGCAAAAGCAGGAAGGCGUCCUUGAUUACAAGCCUUUGCUGUCAUGGGAGUUCCUACCCAGAUCAAACAGAUAAUGGCCCCGCACACCAUUCUGACACUCCUGCAACCUUCCUCGUCCAGUGGAAGGUGCAACCCCUGUUCGGAGUCCCUUAGAACUCUACUGGCCAGGCAGUUAUGGGGCGUGCACACGCACCUUGAAAAGCCUUUUGCCCGUUCUGAACAAACAAGGGGAAUUGGUGUGGGUGCAGAAGAGGUUUUGAUGAAGGCAUCGUAUGUGCUGAACUGGCUUAAUCCUAAAAGUGAGACUGAAACGGAACCUGUUGUUAUGCACCAUAUCAACAAUGUCAAAGGUCUUUCCGAAGAAGUACCUAAGGUAACCAUAACAGCUGGUGGAUUCAGCGCAGUGGGUGAGGCCUUGGCUGGCCAGCAAAGAAGAGACCGAUUGCAGUGGUGAUGACCCUGACCCUCAGACGUGUUGUCGCUUUCAGCAGCGGAUGCAGCCGGUGUUGAUCUUUGCAGAACAGAGCAGCGAUUAGUGGUUUGUUAUCGGCCAUGGCCACGGUUGUGAAGUUUGAUGGGAUGUGUUGUUUGAACUUCAAAGACCAUUCAGAAUCUAUACAUAAAAAGAUAACAGAUUUGCAGAACAUGAAAAUAACAGAAGAUGUUGGUUUUUUGGGUUGGAUGCGUUGUUUGGUUAAAAGGAAUAUCGAAAACAGGUCUGUUCUUGUUAAGUGUAAUUGAAUUGGCUGUAAUAUUCUUACCCUGUAUUUCACACAGUCUUCAAAGCACAAUACGGCUUGUUGUGAACAUUCUCUUAAAUGAAAGAGGGGGAGAUGCAGUGGCAGAGCCCCCCGGGGGGAUGGGGUCGUCGCCAGCCCGGCCAGGAGGUGAAGCCGGAGACCAAAGAGACAAAAGGAAUCCUGUAAGAGGGUACCAGCCAAUGAGCAAUCGCCGACACGCGCGUGCAGAGCGCGUGGACAGUGCGUGCAGCCAAUCACGGUACUGGAUAGCGCGUGCUGUAACCAAUCACGUUGUUGCACGGCGUGUGGACAGGGCAGCUUUUGGCCCAAAGCCAGCGUGGUGGGGCGGUCAAGGUGAACUCUGUGAACAUCACUUGGUGUGUCCGGUUCCGUCUCUCGCAUGGCAGCGACAUUGAACGGCCGCAGUUUCCUGUGUUUUGGUGACCCAAACUCUCCAGUGCACAGGACGGUGAUCCUCUGUGCAGCAACAAGGCCUGUUAGCACAGUGCAAGUUGGGCUACGUUAAAGCAGUAGAGCAGCACUGGAUAAUGGGGGGAGGAUCAAUAAGUGUGUUAAUGACCUGGAUCACGGGAGGAACGUGUAUUGCAGUCCAAGAGUACGUGGACUUCCUAUUUUCUUUCAUUCUUUGAUGCUGUGUUUUUAUAGAAGACCUACAUGCUUGUAAAUGGGAUUUGCUAGAUUAUAGUAGCACACUGCAGAAAUGAGUCAUCUCUCUGCAGAAUCUUUCUGGGGCUUCUGCCUGUGAUCCUCUGAGACAGGCAGUUCUUCCCAAAUUAUUUACUUCUCCAAAGUAUUUAAUUCGUAGCCUUAUGUUGCAGAACAGGGAAGCUCCAUCCGGUGUGUCUGACCUGUGAUGCACUGAGCAUGCAUCGUGCUUAAUGCACCAGAAGUUAUGUUCUGGAUUCAUUUUAAUGAGAGUAGAUGGUUGGAUGGGUUCUUAUCACACUAAACAAAUGCAUCUCACAACUUUGGAAACUCUCUCAUCUCUUUUGAUCAGCCAUCUCUAUUUGUUAAUGCUGAAACAACAGGAACUCUUGUUUAACCUGUUUUCCCACUCUCCAUUCUCUAAGCUGAGAGACUGCGCUGAGGCGCUGCUCACAGAGUUGUAUUGAAACAUCCAUAAACACCAGGGAGUUCAGAGCUUCUCAGCUGUGGAACACGGGUGAAUUGGGCUUCUACCGUUUGCUUCUUUGCAGAAGAACCCGCAGCACAAGCUGGAACACAAGCACAGUUCACUGCCAGAAAUCCGCAGGUAGUCAGUUGGAAUACUGGGAUAAUCAAGUCAAAUAAUCAAGAAAAAGCAGCAAAAAUUGCAAAGAAUCUCUCUGAAUUCUUGAAGAACAGACAAAAUCCCCCUCUGGUACAUCCGCCUCUCCUUUCAACAAGUCUAGUUACUGGAAUAUGAAAGAUACUGGAAUACAACCUCAGAAUCAGUUUUAAUUCUAUUCCCUCCAGCCCUCCAGAGAACACUCAUGCAGAAAUGUGUUCUCCCAGUAAGAAAAUCCAAAGAAAGAUCAAAAAAAUGAUGACAGGCAUGCACGCAAUGUUCCUUUUAGAGCAUCAUAGGGUCAUUUUGGUUGGAAGAGACCCUCGUAUCAUCAAGUCCAACCGUAAACCCAACACUGUCAUUACCCCGUGUCCUGAGAACCUCAUGUCCGUCUGUCCAGCCCUCCAGGGAUGGCGACUCCAGCACUGCCCUGGGCAGCCUGUUCCAAUGCCCCACAGCCCUUUGGGGAAGAAAUUGUUCCCAGAUCCAACCUCAACCUCCCCUGGGCAACCUGAGGCCGUUUCCUCUGCUCCUGGCGCUUGUUCCUGGGGAGCAGAGCCCGACCCCCCUGGCUCCAAGCUCCUUUCAGGCAGUUCAGAGAUCAGAAGGUCUCCCCUCAGCUCCUGUUCUCCAGCUGAACCCCCCAGGUCCCUCAGCCGCUCCAUCACCCUUGUGCUCCAGCCCCUCACCAGCUCCCUUCCCUUCUCUCCACUUGCUCCAGCACCUCAAGGGUUUUCUUGGCGUGAGGGGCCCAGAACUGCCCCCAGGAUUGGCGGUUUGGCCUCCCCAGGUCCCAGCACAGGGACGGUCGCUGCCCUGGGCCUGCUGGCCACACCAGUGCUGGUCCCAGCCAGGAUCCUGUGGCCUCUUGGCCACCUGGGCACACGCUGGCUCAUGUUCAGCCGCUGGCACCAACACCCCCGGCGCCUUUUCCAGCCGCUCCUCCCCAGCUGCAGCGUCCAUGGGGUUGUUGUGACCCACGUGCAGGACCCGGCACUUGCCCUUGGUGACCCUCAGACACCCAUCCAGGCCGUGAGCUGCAGCUUCUCCAGGAAAAUGCUGGGGAUACAGUGUCAAAGGCUUUGCUGAAGUCUAAGUGAUUCUUUAAUAAAGGUAGUCGAAAAAUCCCUUGGAAAGCAAAGUGCAGGAAAGAGGUAAAUCUUGAACCUGAACCUUUUCCUCUGUGAUUAAUGUGAUGUAAUUUAUUUUCCGAUAAAUUAAGACAUGUCAGUAAAACGGGAAAAGACAAAAGGUCUGUUUUGGGACGUCCUGUAGGAACUUUUUCUUCCCUUUGCCCAUGCUGAACUGCCCCAUCCCAGUUGAAGCACAACUUGCCAAUUUUUAACUUUAAUUUUCUUGUUAGGUAUUUUUGGAGGUAAAUUGAGUAAUGAAGUAUCAGAAAUACAGGCCACAAAGAUGAUUAAGGGCCUGGAACAUCUUUCCUAUGAAGAGAGGCUGAGGGAGCUGGGACUGUUCAGCCUUGAGAAGAGAAAGCUCAGGGGGAUCUUAUCAACGUGUGUCAAUAUCUGAUGUGCAGAAUGAACAGGAGGGAGCUGGACUCUUGGGGUGCCAUGAUAGGGCAAGAACCAAUGGGCAUAAACUUAAAAACAAUGCGAACGCAAGAAAAACACUUUUUAAAUCUAUUUUUUUUAAUUGUGUGGGGCUGCUCAAAACCGGAGCAAGUUGCCCAGAGAGGCUGUGGAAUCGCUGUCUGUGCAGAUGUUGAACCCUGACGCAGCCAGGACGGGCUCUCAGGACAGGACAGGCUCGGCCUGAGCCCGGGCUUGGACCAGCCGAGCUCAGGAGGGUCCCUUCCCGCCGAGCAAGCCUGUGAUCCGUGAAAUCCUGGAAACCGUUGUCCUUAUUUUCCAAACCUGACUUAUUUUAUGUUGGAAUCUUGUGUAAUGGAUAAAAAUUUCCACUUCAACACAUUUUGUGAAACUCAAAAAAACCCUCAGCAUUACUGGAUUUAAAGAAAUUGCAAACUAGACGAGAGCAGCCAUGUGACCCCUGUUAUUUUAACAGCCUCGAGAUACUCCAGCUGGGCACCGAGCGCCUCCGUUCUCUCAGUGUAGCAGCCGUAUCCACAGCAUCAGUACCCACAGCAUCAG
Columba livia (rock pigeon) is the source of this 5298-nucleotide long non-coding RNA. RefSeq lists it as uncharacterized. The transcript is spliced from 5 exons. Lineage: Eukaryota; Metazoa; Chordata; Aves; Columbiformes; Columbidae. The record is from RefSeq and is a predicted model, not a curated record.